UACAGAGGGGGCAAGCGUUGUUCGGAAUUACUGGGCGUAAAGGGCGCGUAGGCGGCCUGCUAAGUCGAACGUGAAAUCCCCGGGCUCAACCCGGGAACUGCGUCCGAUACUGCCCGACUAGAGGUAGGUAGGGGAGAUCGGAAUUCCUGGUGUAGCGGUGAAAUGCGCAGAUAUCAGGAGGAACAUCGGUGGCGAAGGCGGAUCUCUGGGCCUUACCUGACGCUCAGGUGCGAAAGCUAGGGGAGCGAACAGG
RNAcentral lists this ribosomal RNA (253 nucleotides) under uncultured bacterium. Its description in RNAcentral is "partial 16S ribosomal RNA". It matches the Rfam family "Bacterial small subunit ribosomal RNA", at positions 524 to 776 of the family's 1533-position model. The record is from RNAcentral.